AGGGACGGGAUGCUGUGCAGUGUUGUUCUAUCACCAACCAAUAUUGCACUCGUCCCGGCCUCC
This 63-nucleotide microRNA precursor is filed under the name Chrysemys picta bellii (western painted turtle). Its description in RNAcentral is "Cpi-Mir-92-P1d_pre stem-loop". The record is from RNAcentral. Lineage: Eukaryota; Metazoa; Chordata; Testudines; Emydidae.